Molecule: long non-coding RNA, 570 nt
Filed under: Mus musculus (house mouse)
Lineage: Eukaryota; Metazoa; Chordata; Mammalia; Rodentia; Muridae
Description: predicted gene, 26655
Source: RNAcentral
AGAAUUCUGACACGGAGGCAUGUGCCUAUGAGAUCUUCUUUUCAGGCCUCCAUCCUUCCUGGCCCACCUUCAGUACUGAGGAAUUACAGCAGAAAACAUGAAGAAUUGGUGCUUGCUGACUUGCCUGAAAGAAGCAAAGGACCUCAAAUCUCAGCAUGUACACCAGUAGGAUCAGGCUGAACAGUUUCAAGCAUUGUGUUUCAGUCCUCAGAGCCACCAUACAAGCUAUGGGAAUUCUGCUGGAUGCAAGUUCAGCUCCAAGCAACUCAAUCUCUCAAUGAGUAAAAUCCAAGACAAACUACAAGGCAAAGCUUUACUGAGCAGAGGUAGCAGGAAAUGUAAUGGUGGCAGGCAAUGAGGAAAACAACCUGGAAUGCUUAGAAGACACAGUGAGCCACCUGACCUUCCAGUGGUCCUUCACAAUUCACCAAGAGCAGAAAAGGGACAUAAACACAUGGAUUUUAUACAGCUAUGUCCUCCUUACCUAUAUAUACCAUAUCCCUUACAUUUGCUCUAAUGAUUUCAAUGAGAAUUAAUAGUUUUGUUUCUAGUCAGUUAAAAAUUUGACCC